Molecule: ribosomal RNA, 252 nt
Filed under: uncultured bacterium
Lineage: Bacteria
Description: partial 16S ribosomal RNA
Rfam family: Bacterial small subunit ribosomal RNA
Source: RNAcentral
UACGAAGGGUGCAAGCGUUACUCGGAAUUACUGGGCGUAAAGCGUGCGUAGGUGGUUUGUUAAGUCUGUUGUGAAAGCCCCGGGCUCAACCUGGGAAUGGCAAUGGAUACUGGCAAGCUAGAGUGCGGUAGAGGGUAGUGGAAUUCCCGGUGUAGCGGUGAAAUGCGUAGAGAUCGGGAGGAACACCAGUGGCGAAGGCGGCUACCUGGACCAGCACUGACACUGAGGCACGAAGCGUGGGGAGCAAACAGG